RNAcentral lists this unclassified non-coding RNA (328 nucleotides) under plant metagenome. RNAcentral's name for it is "partial contains 5.8S ribosomal RNA, internal transcribed spacer 2, and large subunit ribosomal RNA". The stretch from base 1 to 105 matches the Rfam family "5.8S ribosomal RNA", at positions 50 to 154 of the family's 154-position model. The record is from RNAcentral.
GAAAUGCGAUAAGUAAUGUGAAUUGCAGAAUUCCGUGAAUCAUCGAAUCUUUGAACGCACAUUGCGCCCUCUGGUAUUCCGGGGGGCAUGCCUGUCCGAGCGUCAUUGCAAACCCUCAAGCCCGGCUUGUGUGAUGGGUCCUGCGUCCUCCUUCCGGGGCGGACGGGCCCGAAAUGCAGUGGCGGCGUCGCGGUAAUCCGAUCAGCCAGAGCGUAUGGGGACUCUCUCUCUUGUCACACGCCCGCGGCGCGGACCGACGCCUGUCGACCUUUAUUCAUCUUCUCUCGGUUGACCUCGGAUCAGGUAGGGAUACCCGCUGAACUUAAGC